GCCUUUAUGGUGGUGGAGUCUGCCCAGGCUGUGGACCGCAAAUAACCCUGUACAAAGAGGAAUGGAGAUUGCCUCUAUCCACCUAGAUUCAUAAGCUGGCCUGAGGUGAUCUUGGCAUCAAGGAAGGGAUGCACAUCAUCACACCAUCAGCUUCAGAGAAUGGCAGCCAUUUAUUUGUCCCGUGGGAACCAAUCUGCCCUUUUGAAGAAAAGACAAAGGUAGAAAGGAUGGUGGAGGACUACCUGGCAAGUGGUUAUCAGGUAAGCAGAAAACGUACUGUUGUUAAAAAUGAUAUGCUUUCAUCCAAUAGGUAGACAGAUUUCUUUCUAGACAGACUCAUCUUCAGAGUUUUCUUAGAGCAAAUGAAGCCUUACUCAAGGACUGAGUCCCCAGAUGAAUUUCCCCAGGGAAUGAAGUCUCCUAUACAUAAAAUGUUAACUUGAAAAUCAGUCCAGUAGCUCAGUAAUUACUACUUAAGCUUGACCUUCAUGGUGCCAACUGCAUCUUUCUUACAUUGCUGGGUGCGGUGACGGAUGAUAAAGCAGAUGAAAGUGUCCUUUUAUCAAAUCAUUCACUUAUCAGCAUUUAUCAGGUAUCUGCAGUGUGCUGAGGAGUGUGCUGCAUAGACACCAAUGGGACAGGAAGAGCUCCUAGCCUGGUUGUGCUGAGAUCAAGCGUAAGCAGUGUGCAGUGGCUCAUGCCUGUAAUUCCAGCUACUCAGGAGACAGAGGUGAGAGGACCACUUCAGCCCAGGAGAUCGAAGCUGUAGUAAUCAGCAGUUGUGCCUGGGUGACACAGUUGGACCCUGUUUUUAUAUAUAAAUAAAUAAACAGAUUAGAUAGAUGAUAGAUAGAGGAAAAUUCAUCUUUAGGAAGUACUGUUCUAAUCAAAAUAAAAAUAAAAUUUAAAAUUUAAAAAUAC
This 921-nucleotide long non-coding RNA is filed under the name Homo sapiens (human). RNAcentral describes it as "HSALNT0255537". The record is from RNAcentral. Lineage: Eukaryota; Metazoa; Chordata; Mammalia; Primates; Hominidae.